This 253-nucleotide ribosomal RNA is filed under the name uncultured bacterium. RNAcentral describes it as "partial 16S ribosomal RNA". It matches the Rfam family "Bacterial small subunit ribosomal RNA", at positions 524 to 776 of the family's 1533-position model. The record is from RNAcentral.
UACGUAGGGUGCAAGCGUUGUCCGGAAUUAUUGGGCGUAAAGAGCUCGUAGGCGGCUUGUCACGUCGGCUGUGAAAACCUGGGGCUCAACCCCGGGCCUGCAGCCGAUACGGGCAAGCUAGAAUUCGGUAGGGGAGACUGGAAUUCCUGGUGUAGCGGUGAAAUGCGCAGAUAUCAGGAGGAACACCGGUAGCGAAGGCGGGUCUCUGGGCCGAUAUUGACGCUGAGGAGCGAAAGCGUGGGGAGCGAACAGG